This 241-nucleotide ribosomal RNA is filed under the name uncultured bacterium. Its description in RNAcentral is "partial 16S ribosomal RNA". It matches the Rfam family "Bacterial small subunit ribosomal RNA", at positions 537 to 776 of the family's 1533-position model. The record is from RNAcentral.
AGCGUUGUUCGGAUUUACUGGGCGUAAAGGGCGCGUAGGCGGUCGUGCGAAGUCACUUGUGAAAUCUCCGGGCUUAACUCGGAACGGUCAAGUGAUACUGUCGGACUAGAGUACAGAAGGGGCAACUGGAAUUCUCGGUGUAGCGGUGAAAUGCGUAGAUAUCGAGAGGAACACCUGCGGCGAAGGCGGGUUGCUGGGCUGAUACUGACGCUGAGGUGCGAAAGCGUGGGGAGCAAACAGG